AUUGAACGCUGGCGGCAGGCCUAACACAUGCAAGUCGAACGAGUGGCGGACGGGUGAGUAAUGUCUGGGAAACUGCCCGAUGGAGGGGGAUAACUACUGGAAACGGUAGCUAAUACCGCAUACCAUCGGAUGUGCCCAGAUGGGAGUAGCUUGUAGGUGAGGUAACGGCUCACCGAGGCGACGAUCCCUAGCUGGUCUGAGAGGAUGACCAGCCACACUGGAACUGGGACGCGGGCAAGACGCCUACGGGAGGCCGACGGGGGGAAUAUUGCAAAAUGGGCGCAAUCCUGAUGCAGCCAUGCCGGGUGUAUGAAGAAGGCCUUCGGGUUGUAAAGUACUUUCAGCGGGGAGGCGUUACCCGCAGAAGAAGCACCGGCUAACUCCGUGCCAGCAGCCGCGGUAAUUC
This 406-nucleotide ribosomal RNA is filed under the name uncultured bacterium. Its description in RNAcentral is "partial 16S ribosomal RNA". It matches the Rfam family "Bacterial small subunit ribosomal RNA", at positions 29 to 526 of the family's 1533-position model. The record is from RNAcentral.